AGCGCAGGCGGGAAGACAAGUUGGAAGUGAAAUCCAUGGGCUCAACCCAUGAACUGCUUUCAAAACUGUUUCUCUUGAGUAGUGCAGAGGUAGGCGGAAUUCCCGGUGUAGCGGUGGAAUGCGUAGAUAUCGGGAGGAACACCAGUGGCGAAGGCGGCCUACUGGGCACCAACUGACGCUGAGGCUCGAAAGUGUGGGUAGCAAACA
This 207-nucleotide ribosomal RNA is filed under the name uncultured bacterium. Its description in RNAcentral is "partial 16S ribosomal RNA". It matches the Rfam family "Bacterial small subunit ribosomal RNA", at positions 568 to 774 of the family's 1533-position model. The record is from RNAcentral.